UACGUAGGGUGCGAGCGUUGUCCGGAAUUAUUGGGCGUAAAGAGCUUGUAGGCGGUCUGUCGCGUCUGCUGUGAAAAUCCGGGGCUCAACCCCGGACUUGCAGUGGGUACGGGCAGACUAGAGUGUGGUAGGGGAGACUGGAAUUCCUGGUGUAGCGGUGAAAUGCGUAGAUAUCGAGAGGAACACCUGCGGCGAAGGCGGGUUGCUGGGCUGACACUGACGCUGAUGCGCGAAAGCCAGGGGAGCGAACGGG
Molecule: ribosomal RNA, 253 nt
Filed under: uncultured bacterium
Lineage: Bacteria
Description: partial 16S ribosomal RNA
Rfam family: Bacterial small subunit ribosomal RNA
Source: RNAcentral